RNAcentral lists this non-coding RNA (21 nucleotides) under Arabidopsis thaliana (thale cress). Lineage: Eukaryota; Viridiplantae; Streptophyta; Magnoliopsida; Brassicales; Brassicaceae. The record is from RNAcentral.
UUGCGGUUCAAUAAAGCUGUG